CCUACGGGAGGCAGCAGUGGGGAAUAUUGCACAAUGGGCGAAAGCCUGAUGCAGCGACGCCGCGUGAGGGAUGACGGCCUUCGGGUUGUAAACCUCUUUCAGUACAGACGAAGCGCAAGUGACGGUAUGUGCAGAAGAAGGACCGGCCAACUACGUGCCAGCAGCCGCGGUAAUACGUAGGGUCCGAGCGUUGUCCGGAAUUAC
This 204-nucleotide ribosomal RNA is filed under the name uncultured bacterium. RNAcentral's name for it is "partial 16S ribosomal RNA". It matches the Rfam family "Bacterial small subunit ribosomal RNA", at positions 338 to 554 of the family's 1533-position model. The record is from RNAcentral.